This 341-nucleotide RNase P RNA is filed under the name Candidatus Marinamargulisbacteria bacterium SCGC AG-410-N11. RNAcentral's name for it is "Bacterial RNase P class A". It matches the Rfam family "Bacterial RNase P class A". Rfam says of the family: Ribonuclease P (RNase P) is a ubiquitous endoribonuclease, found in archaea, bacteria and eukarya as well as chloroplasts and mitochondria. Its best characterised activity is the generation of mature 5'-ends of tRNAs by cleaving the 5'-leader elements of precursor-tRNAs. The record is from Rfam by way of RNAcentral. Lineage: Bacteria; Bacillati; Candidatus Margulisiibacteriota; Candidatus Marinamargulisbacteria.
GUGGUAGGACAAGCAAUCGCUUUAAACAUUAAAGAGGAAAGUCCGGACUCCAUAGAGUAUGAUGCCUCUUAACGAGAGGGAAAAGAAAUUUUACGGAAAGUGCCGCAGAAACUAAACCGCCUAAUUUAAUUAGGUAAGGGUGAAAAAGUGAGGUAAGAGCUCACUAGGGUCGUUAGUAAUAAAGAUCUUGGGUAAACCCCAUCAGGAGCAAGAUUAAAUAGGAAAAGAGAAGCUACUCGCUUCGUUAUUAUUUUCGGGUAAAUCGCUUGAGAUUAGUUGUGAAACUAAUCCUAGAUAAAUGAUUGCUAAUACAGAAUCCGGCUUAUUAUCCUACCACAUGU